GUGCUGUAAAAAGUGGACUCCAACAACCCAUAACUUGACAUAACAUAACGCGAGAAUGUGACUGAACUCAAGUUGCAAUGAGGGUAGUAGUUAACCAGAUAUGCAUGCUGCUCCUGAAUAACCUUCCCCUGCAAGCAUGAACCACGGAUUCAUAAUAUUAGUGGCAGCUCUAUGCCUGCGUCACGCACGGGCCAUGACCUCUACUGAGGUUCCUACAAUUAACUUAACAAAUGCUUGGACCACCACAGUACUAGAGGUCGGUGAACUUUCAAACCCUCAGCCAUUCAUGGAGACAACAAAAGAAUGGGACAAACAAACAACUCCACAACUGAGUGCCACAUCAACAGGGAUUAAGGGAAGCUUAAGUGAAAAUAUAGACGCCGGCGAUGAGACAAAUAUUGCUUCUUCUGUCCUCAUGGAACCAUCGUCUCUUGCUCCCACAUUAAGAUCACGCGCUUAGUAAAUUUAUGCAUGAGCACAACACAAAGAACAACAGUAUUUUCUUCAUCGCCACACAGACCAUCACAAACUACAGUUGUAUCCAGACAAACAGCCUCUUCAGCUAGGGCUCCACUAACUGCAACAACCACACCACUUAUGACAGAAACAUUCACAUCGAAAACUGUGUCCACAUCAGUACAAACACAAUCUAUUCCUCCCACAAUGGAAUCAUCCACAACAACAACAACAACGACACAUAGUACAGGAUCUAUUGCAUCAUCAACUCAAAAACCAACACAAAUUACAGAUGUAUCCAGACAAACAGCAUCUUCAGCUAUGGCUCCACCAUCUGCAACAACCACAUCAGAUACUUCACAAACAUCAAAAUCAGUCACAACAGAACCAACAACAGCUGCAACACAACCUGCUGAAUCAACAGCACUUUCCAGCACUUUGACACAUAGUGGAUCAGUGACUACAAGAACACAAACUACACAACCUAUGACAACAGCAUUCACAACACAAACUAGGUCAACAAUCGUACCAACAGAAUCUAUAACGCCCACAAUAGAAUCAUCAACAACUCCAACACAAAGUACAGCCAUUUCUGUUUCAUCACCACAAAAAACAACACAAACCCCAGUAGAAACAGUACAAACAACAUCUUUAGAAAAAGGUGCACCAUCAGUAGCAACUAAAUCAGUGACUUCACACACAUCUGGAUCAUUAACAACAGAGCAACCCACAGCUGCGCAACAAACUAACCAAUCGAUGGAAAUUCACAGCACAUCUGGUCCUAGUGGAUCAUUACCUACAUCCACAGGAACUACACCACUUAUCAUGGAAACAUUCACAUCGAAAACUGUGUCCACAUCAGUACAAACACAAUCUAUUCCUCCCACAAUGGAAUCAUCCAGCAACAACAGCUACACAAAAUACACCACCACAGGUUAUGGUUGCAACCACACAAUCAGCAACUUCAACAGGAGCUGCACCAUCUGCGACAACCAAAUUGGGGACUUCACAAACAUCAACAACAGCAGCAUUAACAACAGCGCAACCCACGGUUGCAGGACAAACUGCAGAGUCAACGGCAAACAAAACACCCAAUUCCCUGGAUGCAUCAACUCUAAAUCCCAUUGAAGCCAACAUAACACAACAGCAAGUUGAUCCUAACUCUGUUCCUUUUUCUCGAGGAAAUAUAGUUUUUUUCAACCAUACCCCCGAAAUUGCUGCUGUCAGGCCGCUUGACUUUGGUUACCCAUCUGUCAUCUGGACCACAUUCCAAGUUACAAGCCAGUCAGACCAGAACGACACAAAUCAGAUUCCUACAUUUCCCCCCACAAGUGUGAACAAUGGUUAAUGGACUUGCCGUUUAAAAGAUCCAACCACUCAAAGAACUUUACAGUACAUGUCUACAUUGACCCUUUCAGGCUCACGUUCAUGUCAUGCAAAGUCAAAGGCCAUCACGAUCUAAUCUAGAUAACAUUGAUAUUGUACACCCUGAUGGCAAGUUGGCAGCAUUUUGGCAUUCAGUCUCCUUCCCAAGGGCCGGAGGAGCUGGGAAUUGAAUCGGCGAUGAUCAAAUUAGAAGAAACUGAUGGCUGGAAAUCCUGAGUUUAAGUCCAGACAAACCCUCACUUAUGUCAUACUUCAGAAGAAUGUUCGCCAACACCGAUGGAUUUCCCGAGAAAAAUGAGCACAUCCCAAAAACAAUCAUAAUAAAUCAAAUGGACGUGAACACAUGUUUCAACUUGCUAGCUUACAUCGUAGACUAAGCAGAUAUCAUGUAUAUAACGUCACUGAUACACGUCUACACAGCUUCUCACGCUGAAUGUGAGUCGUCUUUGUUCAGCUAGUUAUAGCUCAUAUUGGUGGUGGUUUGGUCAGUUAGACCCUCACUGGUCUCUUCUGUCUGUGCGUCCUAAAAGUUACACAAAUUAAUAUUCUAAAUACAUGCUCAUAGCAAAGUGUACACAUUUUCAAAGUUUUUUUCCGUGGUAUUUAAUUGUUGUUGUGUUUGUUUCUGGGUUUUAUUGCCACCUAAUUUUUGAGGUCAAUUAACACUUUCAACUUAUUUCUGUUGUGACAUUGAUACCUUUGUAACAAAUAAAUUAGAUGUCAGUAGAAUUUUCUCUCCUGUCGAGUUUUGUUCAUUGUUCAUUUAUAUUGGCCCUUGGUGCACAGAUUAUUCUGUCAAUACAGAAAGUAAAAUUGUGUACCAAAACUACACUUACAUUCAUCAACAGGGGGAGCCAUCAGACAAACAGCGUCUUUACAUGCUCUCAGUCACUCACAAAUCUUCUUAUUUGAUUCACACUUGAGUCAAAGUAUAAUAAGUGC
Gasterosteus aculeatus aculeatus (three-spined stickleback) is the source of this 2784-nucleotide long non-coding RNA. NCBI's taxonomy places the organism in Eukaryota, Metazoa, Chordata, Actinopteri, Perciformes, Gasterosteidae. The record is from Ensembl.